This is a long non-coding RNA of Pseudophryne corroboree (corroboree frog), 2506 nucleotides long. RefSeq lists it as uncharacterized. The record is from RefSeq and is a predicted model, not a curated record. The transcript is spliced from 4 exons. Lineage: Eukaryota; Metazoa; Chordata; Amphibia; Anura; Myobatrachidae.
AGUACCAGCAGCUAAAUAUAGGCUGCUCCCCCACACUGCCUUACCCCACACCACGGAGGCAAGACCCCUGAGAACAUGAGAGUGCACAUACACUGCGUGUGAGUCCACUUAUAAAGAGACACCUCAGCAAGAGACAGUCACAACUCAGAGACAGGAAGAGAGUGUGCACAAAACAUGCUUCAUUAACCCUCUCCUGCAGUGUCUGACUGAAGGAAAUUAAAUAUCAGGGCAAAUCCGACAGUGGAUUAGCACCCCAGAGGGUUGCGGCCAUACCUGACCAUAGGACACUGCCCCCCUGUGACAGCUGAAGGAGGCCAAUAUGAGAACAUGGUAAAAGGCACUGGAAAGACCUGGGAAUCCAUAAGUGAUGAUGAAAUGACCCUGACCUCAGCCGCCUCCUAUGCGAUAAAUCUAAAUGAAGGGCAGAGCCAGGUAGCCAGAGGGGGUGCUGCUUCCCAAGUGGUGGAGAUGGCUGACAUCAGCGACACAGCAGGAGAGGUAGGAUACUUCGCUCAGGAAGUACAGAACAUGUUGGACACUCCCCAAAGACUAAUGUUGCAUUCUCCCAUCUAGAUUCACAUCCAUCUCAAGUAGAUGAAAUUAUCUCGCAAAUACCGGGUUCCCUUUGGACCAAAGAUGGACAGGACGCUGGAUUAAUGGCUAAUGUAGCACCCAUAGUAAUCCAAUUAAAAGACUGUAGGACAGCUCCAAGAAUACUACAGUACCCCCUGAAGCCAGAAGUGGAAUCAGGGGUUUAUCCUGCAAUCGAAAGGCUGCUCGAACCGGGAAAUCUAAUCAGAACUUCCAGCACAGAUAUUGUCCCAUCUUUCCAGUAAAGAAAAGUGGGGGGAGGGGCUCCAGGCUAGUGCAGGGUUUAAUAAGGGCAAACAAAUUAGUGGAGAGCCAAUUCCCUGUAGUGCCUAAUCCAGCUGUCAUCCUGAUGCAAAUUCCUCCUCACUCUACCCACUUUACUGUAAUUGACCUUUGUUCCGUUUUUUUUUUUCUAUCCUACUUCACCCUGACAGCCAGUAUCUGUUUGCCUUUUCCUAUAGAGGUGUACAGUAUACCUGGACCCGCUUUUGAACACCCAGAGAUUGCAAAAUUUGUGUUCCCCACAUGAAAAGAUGGUCUGGAAGGUGAAGGGAUAUGGUCAAGAGUCGUCCGGACUCUGGAGAGAUGGGCAAGGUAAGCCAGUGGCUCCCAAAGCAUAUCUCCCCAGCCUAGAUGAAGCAGCACACGGUCUGACUCACCUGGGCAAGGAAGGAAUAUGCAGACUAGUGGGAGCCUAUUGGAGUGCACCAGCACUCUCUUCUCAGGUGAGCAGGAAAGCCAUGUCAUGUCUUACUUACCUAGGGAAGAACAUUGGUAAGGCAGUACCAACAGAGCCAUCCCAUAUCCCUUCUGCAGACGGUCCUUUUCAGGUAAUAAAAAAUUGACUUUAUACAGCUACCACCCUGCAGAAGUUUGAAAUAUGUGUUAGUUUGUAUUGAUAUUGGGUAGAGGCAUUCCCAGCUGCCUCUAACACCGCUGUCUUCACUACCAAGAACAUAGUGCAAGAAUUUGUAUGUAGAUAUGGUAUCCCUAGGAUUAUUGAAAGUCAUAGGAGUAACCCACUUCACGGGGGAGGUCUUUCAGGCCAUGAGCAAACUGCUGGGGAUUGAUAGCUAGUGCAAUGGUGGAGAGAGUGAAUAGUACUAGCAAGUGCAAAUUGAGCAAAGUGAUGACUGGAACUGGACUACUGUGGCCAGAGGCGCUGCCACUGGUGUUGUAUAGCAUCAGGACCACUCCCAGGGCUACUCUCAAUUUAUCACCUUUUGAAAUUCUUUUUGUGAGGCAACCCAUGUGAUGAUAGAUCCUCAGGACAAGUUAAAAUGCAACAACGAGGUGACAGUUCAAUACCUCAUAAAAAUGAAUAAGCACUUGAGAGAACAGCAAAAGAAUUUAAAACUGUUGAUUCCAGAUAUGCCAAAUUCAAACUGCCAGGAUAUCGAACCAGGGUGUGGUGAUUCGAAAUGUUUUUAUGCUCAGGUUGUUUGAUAGACCAUUGGAAAGGAUCGUAACAAGUUUUGUUAACCAGCACCACUUCAUUGAAAGUAGCAGAGAGAUAGACUUGGGUCCAUUCGUCUCAUUAGGAGAAGAGAGAGAGAGAUUCGAAAUGCCCUAUGGUGGUGCACACAUAUAAGUGUUAAAAUAUAACUUUUAUUAUAAUAUAUAGUAAAACCAGCGAAUAUUAAAAGGAAAGUAGAAUAGUGUAAAUAGAAGGGAAAUCGUGAUUAAAAUAAGAAUUCUGCGCACUAGACGUCACUGGAUUGGCUCGUAUGAUGAUAUUAUUGUGUAUUAAAGUUUGAGGAUAAUCAAGAGUGUCCUUUUAUUCGUAUACUAUAAGUAUAAAGUUUCUGUAUGGUCGUCCGUUAUCUAUAUCUCAUAUUCACGCUGUUAUUCUUCUAGCCAUUAAUGGAACUCAUAAAAAUCGAAACAAUAACAAACGUAUUAAUUUUCUUAUCCU